CACAUUCCCUAGAAGGUAAUCAUGCUCUCAAAAUCAGCAUUUCCCCUACAUUUUAACAUAAAUUACUAAAGAGGGUGAGAUCAGUGUUUUUUAAAAAAACUCAAUACAAAACACCUGGGGUGAAUAUGGUGUUCCUAAAUUUUUUUUCUCCAUUUUCCUAGUGGUGUACAUAGAAUUGAGUAUGAUCUUCUGAGGUCUCUAAGGGAGCUGGUUGUUAAACAUUAGCAGCCACACCAGUAUUGCUUAACCCCAAGAGGUGAUUCUGAAACCAGCGUUCAGAGUUUCAGUAACUUAUUGAAGGUCACACAGCUACUGAGUAGAGAGUCGGAUUGCAAAGCCCAGAUAUUUGGGCCUUAGAAUCUGUUCUCAGCUGUUAUGUGUAACAGAGAGGCACUGGGCUUGGGGUCUCCUUGGCAGAGUGGUUUUUAGUAGGUAUGCUUUGAUCUCUGCAGAUGUGGGUUAUUUGGGAAGGGGUAAAGGGGAAGCUCUUAGGCAAGGAUUCAAUACAUAAUAGUCUAAUGUUAUCCCCCCAUCCCCUAAGUAAAAUUUUCUCUCAUCUGUAAAAAGGGUAAACUCAAGUGGCUGCAAGACUAAAUGAGGUGUAUUAAAAACUUUGCAGACAGUGAAGCCUAUACAGACCCUAGGUCCCAGCCAUUAAGUUGAAAGAGGAGAAAGCAGGAGUCAUCCCUGGGGGCAGUGAGGUGCCCUGGAGGGUCCUCUCCCUGCUCAGCCUGGGUGGUGAGUCUCUCACAAGCCCUCUGGGCUGAAGUCACUGAGGGGUGGCUCUUGAUUUAGGCCUUCUCAGCUAGAAACUGCCCUGUCAGUAAAGACUGACUCAGUGAUGACCUCAGCCUUCAGACACUGGUUCCUCAGGAGGAUCUAAAACAAGGGACAGAAGAUGACCGAGUCCAUAUCUCAUCACCAGUCCCCCAGACGAGAACAUACAGGGAGGAUCCUUCGUGUUCUAGUUGGUGCCGGCAUCGUCCAAGAGGUUCCCUUUCCUGUCCUGGGUUCAGCGCUUCUCUGCGAAGUGAGGGGAUUGAACUACACCCUCCAGAAUCCCUUCCAGGGCCGACCUCUGUGAUGUGAUGGUAAUAAAAACAAAACAAAACCCAGGAACUUCUGAUCCUUCUUUGUGAUCUUGUGCAUGUUUGUAACAUUGCAAGAGGGCACCACCAUCAGGCAUCACAACAGAAGCACUGUGUCCAGAGAAGAAGAGACCUUCCUCUUGAUUAUUAGGGGGGGACCUUUCUCAGGAGGCCCCAGCAGACUUCACGUCUCAGCUGCCACUGGCCAGUUGGGUCUCAUGUGGCAAAGGAGCUUGGAAAGCUGAUAUGAGAAGAUGUAAGAAUUUGGGCUCAUCAAAUCUUCUCCUGAAAAUAUCGAACUAUCUGAAGGCCUGUUCUGCCAGUUUUCCCAGAGCACGGAGGGCCUCCUUCCUGAUCUCCACUCUGAACUCCGUUCAGCGGAUGUUGAAGGAAGAUUCUAAUGCCAUCCCAGAUGACACCGUGCUAAAUGGAUGGAAUGGAAAGUGUUGGCAGUGAAGAAAGCAGAAAGGAGGAAAAAGGUGGACUGUAAAAUAAUUCCAGUUUCUACAGAAAAUAACUUCCUCAUCAGAGAAGGAAUUCCAUAAAUAAUUGAGAAAGCUGACGGAACAUUUAAAAUAGCUGAAGGAAAAACACGCACAUUCAAUGUGAGCCUCGACCCUGCAGUGAUGGUUAGAUCUGAGAAGUACGUUGCAGGCGUUUGGGAGUAAUGGGUGUCAUGGAGGCGUCAUAUUCAAAGCCGUUAAAAAUAACCCACUCCCUGAGAAAUAAACACCUAGCCUAAGCCCUUAGGAAUUCUCAGAGAGGGACAGAAAUAGCUCCUGUAGUUCCCAUUGCUCUUUAAUUUCUACUCCUACUAUUUCAUUAUUCGUCAUUUCUGUGCAGUUUGCUUCGUCUAUUUAUUUAAAAUGCGAUUCCAGACGACAGGCAGCAGUCCCAGUGUUCUGUGUCUUGCAUAGCCCUUUCCACCCCGGGAAACAGAAAUUAUAUAACUUGUUUUCAGUUGUGCAGGCGGGGGAGGAUUCACAUGUUUGCUUUGGUGAGAUUCCAGGAAAUAAUUUUAAGUGUUUAUCUAAAGUUUAUUCAGACUGUCUUGAUCUAGAAGUUAGACAGGAAACCUAGCAGCAAACUGAAAGAAACCAGGCUCUGAAGAGGGGGAACUCUAAGUGUAGCCAGAAGGGUUGAACUGUGACACCCUGGGGUAUUCAUACCAUGGAAAGUGGGAGGCUUGAUUCGAGGGCUUAUGUGAUUUAGAAGCUGCGUCAGUAUCAAUAUUUGCUACCACUUCCUGUUGCUCAUCGGUCUGGUUGCUGUUGCUAUAUAAUAACCUGCCCUAACACUUCCUAAACUGGUAUAAACUGGUAUAAACUUUCACCUCGCUCAUGAUUUUGUGGGUGAGGAAUCUGGAAAGGGCUCGGCUGGGUGGCUCUUGCGGAGGUUGCAGUCAGAUGCUUGUCGUCUGCAGGAUUUACUGGGCUAGGUGUCCACGCAGGCUCCGUUACGUGGCUGACUGCUGGCUGUCCACUGGGAGCACUGAGAGCUUCGCCGGGUCGUUCCCUGGAACAUCUAUGUGUGGACUCUCCAUCAUGAUGAGCUGCGUUAGUCAGACUCCCUGCGUGGGAGCCGACCUCUCCCAGAGCAGGCAUCCCACGAGGGGAGGCAGAACCUGGAUGGCCUUCCCUGACCUAGCCACAGAGAGCACUUCCAUGGCACUCUAUUGGCCGAAGUGGCCACAAGUCCGCCCAGACUCAAUGGGAGAAGACAUGUCCUUCACCUCUUCACAGGAGGAGUGGGAAGGAAUUUGUGGCCAUUAAAAAAAUUCACACUCACAUAAAAACCAGACAUUACAUAAAAUAUUGGGUUGGCCAAAAAGUUCGUUUGGGUUUUUCUGUAAAAUCUUGGGAAAAUCACGAACGAACUUCUUAGCCAGCCCAAAAUAUAGCUUACUUAAUCCUCACAAAACCCUAUGAGGUAGGUACUAUUAUUGUUCAUGUUUUACAGAUAGGAAAUCGAGGUUCAGAGAGGUUAAGUUAUUUGCCGUAGGUUGCACAGCUAGUAAGAGGUUGAGUGGUACAUGAACCUACAACUGUCUGUCUCCAAACGUUUACUGUCUGUGUUGAGUUGCACAGUGUUUUAAAGGCUCAAACGUUGUCUCAGAUCUCAAUCAUUACAGCUAUUCUAGGCAACUGGAUAAUUCCACCCAGUCUAGAAUGCCAACACAUGAAGUGCCAGUUUGGGUAUCUUGUCAGUCCGUUUGAAGCAAGGAGCAUUCAUUUGAGGAUGUGGUCCUUUGCCCUGAGGUAGAGAGCUGCUCAGUCCCUUAUCCAGAGAUGGAAUCUGGCCUGUAUCACUCAAGUAGCCCAAGACAAAAGUAGGAUCUUGUGUGAUACUGGGGGAGGGGAGGGGAGGUUACAGUGGCUUCCCUGAGGUGGGUGGGUACAUGUGAAGCAGAUGUGGUAAUUAUAGGGGAGGACCCUGCAGCAGGGGUCUCAGCUGGUCAUUGGCCUGUCCAAUGUGAACUAUGCCAAGUGCCCGUGUGGCCACGUGGACAGAUAGAACCACAGAGCGUGCUCGGGGGCCUGCUUGGCUGAGAGCAGAGGCUGUCCUGAAGGUCCCAGAGACAGGCAGGCCUGGGCUGAGAGGGGACGAGAACAGAGCUUGACAGUCAGAGGAGGGCAGUGAGAAGACCCCAGGGGAGGGCCCUACCGAGCGCCUGCUGCCCGAGGCACACAGUUAUGAUUAUCCUCCCGUUUGUGGGUCGCCUGCCCCAGGGUGUGGGUCUCUGCUGGAAGGCAAAGACCUUGGGCGGUAAUUCUCCUUUUCUUCCUCAAUCUUUUCCUUGCUUCUACUAUUUAAUAAAUAUUUGUGGAUAGCAUCCUGGGCCCCUGGAAAUAGAGUGACGAGCGAGUUAGGCAUCUUUGCCCUCAUGGAGCUUACAAUCUAGGUGGAGGAGCAGAGCCAUUAGAUUAAUAAUUACACAUGUAAUACCUGAUGACCAAGUGAUAAGUUCUGAGAGAGACUUCUAACUGCCCCCUCCCCAUCCACUCUGCUCUUUUUAGCAGUGGAGUCGCCUAGAAUAGUAGCAGGGUAUGUGGCUAUAAACUAUCAAUAAAUUUCCCAGCCUCCGACGCAGCUAGGAGUGGUCAUGUGAGUCAGUUCAGGCUAAUAAAAGUGAUGGGUGUCACUUCCAUGUCCUGUCCUUAAAAUGAAGACUGGUUGCCCUAUAUCUUUCCCCUGCUCCUUCCCACUAGCAGGUAAAUAGUAGCAAUUUGAGCAGAUACCUUGGACCUAGAGAUGGAAGUUUUCCAUGGAGGAUGGUCUUGCCAGUUUUUGUCCCCUAUUAUUAUAAUGACAGAUUAGCUUUUACCCUAAACGAAUACCACAGUAGUUGUAUGAAAAAGUAUAGUGUGAAAUGAGAUACCCCUACACGCCUAUUAGAAUGGCCAAAGUCCAGAACACUGACAACACCAAAUGCUGGCGAGGA
Long non-coding RNA from Physeter macrocephalus (sperm whale), 4530 nucleotides. RefSeq lists it as uncharacterized. Lineage: Eukaryota; Metazoa; Chordata; Mammalia; Artiodactyla; Physeteridae. The record is from RefSeq and is a predicted model, not a curated record. The transcript is spliced from 6 exons.